RNAcentral lists this ribosomal RNA (497 nucleotides) under uncultured bacterium. Its description in RNAcentral is "partial 16S ribosomal RNA". It matches the Rfam family "Bacterial small subunit ribosomal RNA", at positions 28 to 507 of the family's 1533-position model. The record is from RNAcentral.
GUUGAACGUUGGCGGCGUGCCUAAUACAUGCAAGUCGAGCGAACAGACGAGGAGCUUGCUCCUCUGACGUUAGCGGCGGACGGGUGAGUAACACGUGGAUAACCUACCUAUAAGACUGGGAUAACUUCGGGAAACCGGAGCUAAUACCGGAUAAUAUAUUGAACCGCAUGGUUCAAUAGUGAAAGACGGUUUUGCUGUCACUUAUAGAUGGAUCCGCGCCGCAUUAGCUAGUUGGUAAGGUAACGGCUUACCAAGGCAACGAUGCGUAGCCGACCUGAGAGGGUGAUCGGCCACACUGGAACUGAGACACGGUCCAGACUCCUACGGGAGGCAGCAGUAGGGAAUCUUCCGCAAUGGGCGAAAGCCUGACGGAGCAACGCCGCGUGAGUGAUGAAGGUCUUCGGAUCGUAAAACUCUGUUAUUAGGGAAGAACAAAUGUGUAAGUAACUAUGCACGUCUUGACGGUACCUAAUCAGAAAGCCACGGCUAACUACGUG